This 31-nucleotide non-coding RNA is filed under the name Rattus norvegicus (Norway rat). Lineage: Eukaryota; Metazoa; Chordata; Mammalia; Rodentia; Muridae. The record is from RNAcentral.
UGAAGAGUGUAUGACUGAAGCACUAGUGAGC